AUUGAACGCUGGCGGCAUGCCUUACACAUGCAAGUCGAACGGUAACGCGGGGCAACCUGGCGACGAGUGGCGAACGGGUGAGUAAUGCAUCGGAACGUGCCCAGUAGUGGGGGAUAGCCCGGCGAAAGCCGGAUUAAUACCGCAUACGACCUGAGGGUGAAAGCGGGGGACCGAAAGGCCUCGCGCUAUUGGAGCGGCCGAUGUCAGAUUAGGUAGUUGGUGGGGUAAAGGCCUACCAAGCCUGCGAUCUGUAGCUGGUCUGAGAGGACGACCAGCAACACUGGGACUGAGACACGGCCCAGACUCCGCCGGGAGGCAGGAGUGGGGAAUUUUGGACAAUGGGCGCAAGCCUGAUCCAGCCAUGCCGCGUGCGGGAAGAAGGCCUUCGGGUUGUAAGCCGCUUUUGUCAGGGAAGAAACGCUCUGGGUUAAUACCCUGGGGUAAUGACGGUACCUGAAGAAUAAGCACCGGCUAACUACGUGCCAGCCGCCGCCGUAA
Molecule: ribosomal RNA, 498 nt
Filed under: uncultured bacterium
Lineage: Bacteria
Description: partial 16S ribosomal RNA
Rfam family: Bacterial small subunit ribosomal RNA
Source: RNAcentral